UGCAGUCGAGCGGAUCUUCAUUAGCUUGCUUUUGAAGAUCAGCGGCGGACGGGUGAGUAACACGUGGGCAACCUGCCUGUAAGACUGGGAUAACUUCGGGAAACCGGAGCUAAUACCGGAUAAUCCUUUCCCUCACAUGAGGGAAAGCUGAAAGACGGUUUCGGCUGUCACUUACAGAUGGGCCCGCGGCGCAUUAGCUAGUUGGUGAGGUAACGGCUCACCAAGGCAACGAUGCGUAGCCGACCUGAGAGGGUGAUCGGCCACACUGGGACUGAGACACGGCCCAGACUCCUACGGGAGGCAGCAGUAGGGAAUCUUCCGCAAUGGACGAAAGUCUGACGGAGCAACGCCGCGUGAGCGAUGAAGGCCUUCGGGUCGUAAAGCUCUGUUGUCAGGGAAGAACAAGUACCGGAGUAACUGCCGGUACCUUGACGGUACCUGACCAGAAAGCCACGGCUAACUACGUGCCAGCAGCCGCGGUAAUACGUAGGUGGCAAGCGUUGUCCGGAAUUAUUGGGCGUAAAGCGCGCGCAGGCGGUUCCUUAAGUCUGAUGUGAAAGCCCCCGGCUCAACCGGGGAGGGUCAUUGGAAACUGGGGAACUUGAGUGCAGAAGAGGAGAGCGGAAUUCCACGUGUAGCGGUGAAAUGCGUAGAGAUGUGGAGGAACACCAGUGGCGAAGGCGGCUCUCUGGUCUGUAACUGACGCUGAGGCGCGAAAGCGUGGGGAGCGAACAGGAUUAGAUACCCUGGUAGUCCACGCCGUAAACGAUGAGUGCUAAGUGUUAGAGGGUUUCCGCCCUUUAGUGCUGCAGCAAACGCAUUAAGCACUCCGCCUGGGGAGUACGGCCGCAAGGCUGAAACUCAAAGGAAUUGACGGGGGCCCGCACAAGCGGUGGAGCAUGUGGUUUAAUUUCGAAGCAACGCGAAGAACCUUAC
Molecule: ribosomal RNA, 936 nt
Filed under: Mesobacillus subterraneus
Lineage: Bacteria; Bacillati; Bacillota; Bacilli; Caryophanales; Bacillaceae
Description: bacterial SSU rRNA
Rfam family: Bacterial small subunit ribosomal RNA
Source: RNAcentral